GUCCACGCUGUAAACGAUGGAUGCUAGACGUGGUGGGUCUUGACCCCUGCCGUGUCGAAGUUAACACGCUAAGCAUCCCGCCUGGGGAGUACGGUCGCAAGACUAAAACUCAAAGGAAUUGACGGGGGCCCGCACAAGCAGUGGAUCAUGUGGUUUAAUUCGAAGCAACGCGAAGAACCUUACCUGGGUUUGACAUGCCUUUGAAUGUUUCUAGAGAUAGAUACAGGCUCGCAAGAGACAGAGGACACAGGUGCUGCAUGGCUGUCGU
Molecule: ribosomal RNA, 268 nt
Filed under: uncultured bacterium
Lineage: Bacteria
Description: partial 16S ribosomal RNA
Rfam family: Bacterial small subunit ribosomal RNA
Source: RNAcentral